AUUGAACGCUGGCGGCAUGCCUUACACAUGCAAGUCGAACGGUAACAGGUCUUCGGAUGCUGACGAGUGGCGAACGGGUGAGUAAUACAUCGGAACGUGCCCGAUCGUGGGGGAUAACGGAGCGAAAGCUUUGCUAAUACCGCAUACGAUCUACGGAUGAAAGCAGGGGACCGCAAGGCCUUGCGCGGACGGAGCGGCCGAUGGCAGAUUAGGUAGUUGGUGGGAUAAAAGCUUACCAAGCCGACGAUCUGUAGCUGGUCUGAGAGGACGACCAGCCACACUGGGACUGAGACACGGCCCAGACUCCUACGGGAGGCAGCAGUGGGGAAUUUUGGACAAUGGGCGAAAGCCUGAUCCAGCCAUGCCGUGUGCAGGAUGAAGGCCUUCGGGUUGUAAACUGCUUUUGUACGGAACGAAAAGACUCUUUCUAAUAAAGAGGGUCCAUGACGGUACCGUAAGAAUAAGCACCGGCUAACUACGUG
RNAcentral lists this ribosomal RNA (482 nucleotides) under uncultured bacterium. RNAcentral's name for it is "partial 16S ribosomal RNA". It matches the Rfam family "Bacterial small subunit ribosomal RNA", at positions 30 to 507 of the family's 1533-position model. The record is from RNAcentral.